Small nucleolar RNA from Pipistrellus kuhlii (Kuhl's pipistrelle), 129 nucleotides. RefSeq annotates it as small nucleolar RNA SNORA65. NCBI's taxonomy places the organism in Eukaryota, Metazoa, Chordata, Mammalia, Chiroptera, Vespertilionidae. The transcript has a single exon. The record is from RefSeq and is a predicted model, not a curated record.
CCCGCCACUGCACCUGACCACUUCCCCGUUGGCUGGUGCAUUCCAGUGGUGAGCUGAAAUAGGAACCCCCAGCUUAGAACAGGGUUAUUCUUCUGGUGGAUGACUCUGUGCCGAAGCAUGGGGACAACC